This 68-nucleotide transfer RNA is filed under the name Zalieutes elater. Its description in RNAcentral is "tRNA-Ser". The record is from RNAcentral. Lineage: Eukaryota; Metazoa; Chordata; Actinopteri; Lophiiformes; Ogcocephalidae.
GAGAGGGGCUCGACAGCAGGAAAAGCUGCUAACUUUUCUACCCUCGGUUAAACCCCGGGGCCCAUUCG